Bombus huntii is the source of this 4334-nucleotide long non-coding RNA. RefSeq lists it as uncharacterized. Lineage: Eukaryota; Metazoa; Arthropoda; Insecta; Hymenoptera; Apidae. The record is from RefSeq and is a predicted model, not a curated record. The transcript has 2 exons.
GAAAGAGAGAGCGAGCAGCUUGUUCGCGAUCACGCCGAUUCCACCGGCAGUGGGGGCUUUUUUCUAUUUUAUAAUUAGAUUUUUAGGCCUCGGUGACGCGACUGACGUGUAUGCAGGUUAUGAUCGUCGGCGGACGGUUUUAGCGGCAAUAAGAUUUGAAAAUACUCCAGUCACGCAGGUUUUGUGAUAAAGAUCAAUGACGAAAAGGUUAGAAAUAUCGUGAAAAUUAAUGUCGUCUUUCAGGAAGGGGAAAACUUUAGAAAUUUGUUCAUUAUUAUCGAGGUUUUCGUUUAAAGUUUUCUUAAUGUAGAAUUUAGAACGAUAUUCCGCGUAUUUAAGACAGUUUAGGUGUUUAGAAGAAUGUGUUCAACGGUCGAAUCAAAGAGCUGUGAUAUUCUUCUUAGUUCUGUGAUUCUUUCCGAGAAGUAUCCUGUUAGGAGAUAAUUCUUAAGAGUAAUUCGUUGUUUAUUUUUUUAUGUGCUCAAGGAAUCGAAAGAUGUCAAGUUAUCGUUAUUUAUCGCAUUUCUUGUUUUAUUACAUACUUUAACAAGUUAUCUAUUUUCACAUCGUGCAAAUUGCAAGCAAAAAAUUUUCCUUUGCUCCAUCGUUGUAGACAGUUUCGAGUUUUGCGGUAAUUUGAAUGACAGUUUAAUCUAGAAAAAUUGUCUCGACGGGGAAAAAAUCUUUAUACAGUCAACAUAAUUAUCUCUGUUGUUUCUUCGCUCGAACACGAGGGCUUUUGAAUGUGAAGUAUCUGUAUGCUUGUAACAUCUAAAUAUACGUUCACCGUUUGGUGUAUCGAGACGAUAAAUAGCAAACACAAAAUAUAUCCAAACUUUCUCUACGGAGAAUUCUUAUAUCUUACUGAUAAGGUAACGGUGCCAGGUGCCGUUGUACAAACGUGCCCGUCCCCCUAUACGCUUCUCUGUGAUUUAUGCGUGUGUACUUAUUAAAUUAUUAUUUAUAAACUUAUCGACACUAUUGAAUUAAUAGUCGUCGCAAACGAUAUACAUAAUGUAAUACUUAUAUAAUACAAAUUAUAAAUAACAUAUCUUUCUAUUUAUAAUUAUACAAUAUACAAUGAUUUGGAAAAUGUUAGGAGAAUGACCUUGAGAAAAUUUCACGCGUAUUGAAUUAAAUCUUCCCCUCGUGUUUUGAGAUUUAAAUGAUCUAUUUAUAUAACUUCUAUCUUUAUCGAAUCCAUCAAGUACAUUAGAUUAGAGGAUAUUCCAUAUAGAUACCUUAAAUGUUUUUAAUUUUUUUUAUUGCCUUAAAUACAUACAUGUUGAUGUCACUAAAGCAUAGUAGGAUUCUUGUGGUGUCUAAUUUGGCGGGGCGCUACGAUACAACGCAAACCGGAAUUAUUGUGACGGUAUCAAUCAUUUCGUUAUCGUGACAUCGAAACAAACACACAAAUAUGUUUUACAUGGCACGGCAGUACGUACGAUUUGAUUCUGUAUAGGUCUCCUCGACGAGCCACUUCGUUUAAUCGCGGAAAAUCUCACGAUUAAAUCAUAAUAAUUGAUUGUCUGUUCGAGUGUUAAUCGUUCUAUGAAUUAAAACUGGAGAUAAGGAAAGGAAUUUAUCUGUAAUUUUUAAUUUUUAAUUUUUGCCUAUUAUUAUUAAAAGAUGAAAUUAUGGAAGACGGAAUUAUAGCGUUACGAUACAAUAUUUUAAUUUAUAGAUUACUUGCACACGUACGUGUACAUUCAUUCAAACAACGUAUACAUAUUUAUGAACUCGUUGAGUUUCAACCGUUUCUUUUUAAUACUCCGAGAAUGCAUUGUUAAUACUUGUCGUUUUAAUUCAUUGAGAAUAAUUAUCAAAGAGUAAAAAAAAGAAAGCGACGAUUCAAAGAUCAAAGUUCUUAUAUGUAUAUAUGUACACACAUGCAUACUAUGUACAAAUGAAAAAUGGUUUCGAAGUAAGUUAUACGUAAAUAUUGUAAGGCCUAAAAGCAUGAAAUAAAAGAGGAAGAUUUCUCAAGGAACUUAUAUGAUAAAAAUUUAAUAUUUCUAAAAGUAUUCAGAUUGUCUUACGAUUACGUAAUUUCACAAGGUUUUGUAUUAAUUUUUAAAUUAGAGAUAACUGAUUGAAUAUUUGAUAUAUAUAUGUAUACGUAUAUAGCGAUGGUGAUGUACGAUUUAGUCGUAUAUCAAAAAUAUGACUUUGAGCACGUGUGAAGUUGCAGAUUGUGGCGACUUCUAUUGGUGAGAUUGCGUACUGCGCGUACAGUGCUGGUCCUAUAUGAGCUGGUAUACAAGUUAAUCCCGCGCAUAAUUCACACAUUCCAAAAAAGACUCUUCGAUGGAAUUUGAAAGUAUUUCUUCCGUUUGAUGUUUCGAACAAUCUCGAUAUCAACAACGAUUUCUGUAAUAGAGUGCACAAAGAAUGAUAUAAACGUGGAUUUUGUUACGAAAUCAUUACUUAAAACAACUUCAAUAAUAUCUUCAUUUAUUAUAAUGGAAUCAUGUGUGUGUGUGUGUAUGUGUAUUUGUAUCAUGUCCAUGAUGAUUGUAUAACGAACAGAGUUCAACAAUUCUUAUACGAAAGUAAGUAGGAUUGUUUUAUUAGCCAUUAAUGUGAAAACAACUCUUAGCUUUAUAACUCAUAGUCAAUCUAAAUAUAUGCUCGAUUAUAAUUCCAUUUGCGAGAUUGAUAAGAGGGAGACGAAAUAGUCAUAGGGAAGGAGGAAUGAAAGAUGACGCAUUGAAAGUAAGAAAAGAGGAAAUUGACGGAAGGAGAGGAAUGCCCGAAAGGGUGUAGCGGGUCACGUGUGUAUAGUCGGCCUCUUGCAUUAGCCGUGGAUCCUGCUUUUUCUUUUCUUCCUUCCCUUCUUCUCUCUUUCUCUCGGGAGCCACGUGCGCCCCAAGAAAUUCCUCUUUUGUAUCCUUCAGCCUUUGUUCGGCAACAGCUGUCCGGCCGAAGAAAUGCUUUUCUCCAUCGUCAGUCUGCUUACUGCUGAUUCUUUUCCCUCUCUGUUCGCUACCACGUCUAAGUAUGAAUUAAAUUAUCGAUUCUCUGCCUUCUUUUGUCGAUUCGUGCGAGGAAGAGAUUAAGAAUCACGAUUUAGAUUUAACGCGAGUACGUCGACUAACCAUUUAAAUUAUGUCAAUAUUUUCUUCGUAAUCGUUAAUUCGUAAAUUGUCUGUUUUUAGAGACAGAUCAUUACUUGUUAUUACAAAUACGUAAUUGUAUUUGUUCAAGAAAUAUUUGAGGAAUCCAGUUAAACUCGAAGAGCACAAUUUCAUAAAUAUUUUAAUUUUAGGUAUUUCCAGCCAAUCAGCCCCCCAAAAGACUAUUUCUUUUUUUAUCAAUUUUCGAGUAACAUUUCACAAGCAUUAACUUAUUAUUAUUAAGGCAACAAGAAUUAAAAGGAAGACAGAAUGAAAUUUACUAAACGUUAUGAAAAUGCGAGAGAGAGAGAGAGAGAGAGAGAGAGAGAAGUUGUCACAAAUUCCAUUUCCUUCCAUGGAAUGCGGCUCACCAUUCCCCUCUACAUCAUUCCAUUCCGACGGCAAUGUUUAAAAGUACAUCGAAUCAUGAUUCUCUCUACCCCCGUAAUUUCCUCAUAAAUCAUCUCGAAAAUUCCCGAAGGAAACGGUUCUGCAUCCGUGCCCUUAACAUUCGCCGGAAGACGUUGCUUUCGAAAUUUGCCGCGGUUGCGUAUUCAGAAGAAAAUGCCACGAAUGCGUCCAAUUACAAAACACCGCGGGCAUUCCUGAACAGAUCCGUACGCAUAGUGGCCCGACACUGGCUCCGCGCGGCUCUCUGCUAUCUAUCCCUCUUUCUUCGUUCCUCCUCCGAUGGUAUGAGCGGCGGAGAGUAGUUGGCGCACUAUAAAAGGGGGCCCUUCGCUCGGAGCGGGGCCCCGCGGAUCGGCGUGCAGCGUUCAGAUAAAUAUGCGGGAGGGGCCGGAAUUCCUCACUCGGCUGCAUUCCAAUCGCUCUUCCUCCUCCGCCAUCUCACCACUACCACACACACAAACAUCUCCCCGUCAUCGUUAUUUGCAGCCUCCGUCGCACACUACCUCUGUCCCGGCCACGCAGCAACAGAACAACCUAGCGAUCCCAGUAUGUAAUACCAACGAAUACCAGUACCGCCGGUGACAAUAACAAUAACCACGCGUGUCCGUAAUAACCUUCUGAAUACCCUGACAAUGAGCGUAUAUACGAAGGAGUUGAGGUUAGCUUGGAUUAGGUUAGGUUAGAUGCUUGUUCGUGACUUUUGUAAUCUGCUUUGUUUCCUUACGGCUGAAGUGCAGCGAUAUUUUUGGUAAUAAGGAUGUUCCGCUAUUAUUAACAACGGGCAUUGUAUUUAUAUCUCACGGUGAA